Molecule: unclassified non-coding RNA, 236 nt
Filed under: Hevea brasiliensis (rubber tree)
Lineage: Eukaryota; Viridiplantae; Streptophyta; Magnoliopsida; Malpighiales; Euphorbiaceae
Source: RNAcentral
GAAGGAAGAUCUCUGCAACUUCACUAUCCUCAGUAACAAUGCAGUCAGUAUGUGCACUUCCAUAUUGGUGUAUAUGGUCAAUUGCCGCAUGUACAUCAUCAACAAUCUCAACAGUGCAAGCUGUUGAGCUAUACUCAUGAUGAAAUGAUUGUGCCAGUGGAAUAUCUAAUUCUUCGCUGGCUCGAGGUCCGCCAAAAAGUGUAACUCCUUCGCCUUUGAGUUCUACAAUUAAAUCA